AGAUUAAGUUAUUAAGGGCGCACGGUGGAUGCCUUGGCACUAGAAGCCGAUGAAGGACGUUACUAA
Molecule: ribosomal RNA, 66 nt
Filed under: Staphylococcus aureus
Lineage: Bacteria; Bacillati; Bacillota; Bacilli; Caryophanales; Staphylococcaceae
Also listed under: 1 other name
Description: partial 23S ribosomal RNA
Source: RNAcentral